AAUCAACGCUGGCGGCGUGCCUAACACAUGCAAGUCGAGCGCGAAAGGGGGCAACCCCGAGUAGAGCGGCGAACGGGUGAGUAACGCGUGGGCGAUUUGCCUCCGAGUGGGGAACAACACCGGGAAACUGGUGCUAAUACCGCAUGACAUCCUCGGGUCGUACUGGGGAUCAAAAGCUGGGGACCGCAAGGCCUAGCGCUUGGAGAGAAGCCCGCGUCCGAUUAGCUAGUUGGUGGGGUAANGGCCUACCAAGGCGACGAUCGGUAGCCGGCCUGAGAGGGCGGACGGCCACACUGGGACUGAGACACGGCCCAGACUCCUACGGGAGGCAGCAGUGGGGAAUUUUU
RNAcentral lists this ribosomal RNA (347 nucleotides) under uncultured bacterium. RNAcentral describes it as "bacterial SSU rRNA". It matches the Rfam family "Bacterial small subunit ribosomal RNA", at positions 29 to 366 of the family's 1533-position model. The record is from RNAcentral.